Molecule: ribosomal RNA, 2468 nt
Filed under: Escherichia coli BIDMC 49a
Lineage: Bacteria; Pseudomonadati; Pseudomonadota; Gammaproteobacteria; Enterobacterales; Enterobacteriaceae
Description: bacterial LSU rRNA
Rfam family: Bacterial large subunit ribosomal RNA
Source: RNAcentral
UGACUGACCGAUAGUGAACCAGUACCGUGAGGGAAAGGCGAAAAGAACCCCGGCGAGGGGAGUGAAAAAGAACCUGAAACCGUGUACGUACAAGCAGUGGGAGCCUCUUUAUGGGGUGACUGCGUACCUUUUGUAUAAUGGGUCAGCGACUUAUAUUCUGUAGCAAGGUUAACCGAAUAGGGGAGCCGAAGGGAAACCGAGUCUUAACUGGGCGUUAAGUUGCAGGGUAUAGACCCGAAACCCGGUGAUCUAGCCAUGGGCAGGUUGAAGGUUGGGUAACACUAACUGGAGGACCGAACCGACUAAUGUUGAAAAAUUAGCGGAUGACUUGUGGCUGGGGGUGAAAGGCCAAUCAAACCGGGAGAUAGCUGGUUCUCCCCGAAAGCUAUUUAGGUAGCGCCUCGUGAAUUCAUCUCCGGGGGUAGAGCACUGUUUCGGCAAGGGGGUCAUCCCGACUUACCAACCCGAUGCAAACUGCGAAUACCGGAGAAUGUUAUCACGGGAGGCACACGGCGGGUGCUAACGUCCGUCGUGAAGAGGGAAACAACCCAGACCGCCAGCUAAGGUCCCAAAGUCAUGGUUAAGUGGGAAACGAUGUGGGAAGGCCCAGACAGCCAGGAUGUUGGCUUAGAAGCAGCCAUCAUUUAAAGAAAGCGUAAUAGCUCACUGGUCGAGUCGGCCUGCGCGGAAGAUGUAACGGGGCUAAACCAUGCACCGAAGCUGCGGCAGCGACACUAUGUGUUGUUGGGUAGGGGAGCGUUCUGUAAGCCUGUGAAGGUGGCCUGUGAGGGUUGCUGGAGGUAUCAGAAGUGCGAAUGCUGACAUAAGUAACGAUAAAGCGGGUGAAAAGCCCGCUCGCCGGAAGACCAAGGGUUCCUGUCCAACGUUAAUCGGGGCAGGGUGAGUCGACCCCUAAGGCGAGGCCGAAAGGCGUAGUCGAUGGGAAACAGGUUAAUAUUCCUGUACUUGGUGUUACUGCGAAGGGGGGACGGAGAAGGCUAUGUUGGCCGGGCGACGGUUGUCCCGGUUUAAGCGUGUAGGCUGGUUUUCCAGGCAAAUCCGGAAAACCAAGGCUGAGGCGUGAUGACGAGGCACUACGGUGCUGAAGCGACAAAUGCCCUGCUUCCAGGAAAAGCCUCUAAGCAUCAGGUAACAUCAAAUCGUACCCCAAACCGACACAGGUGGUCAGGUAGAGAAUACCAAGGCGCUUGAGAGAACUCGGGUGAAGGAACUAGGCAAAAUGGUGCCGUAACUUCGGGAGAAGGCACGCUGAUAUGUAGGUGAAGCGACUUGCUCGUGGAGCUGAAAUCAGUCGAAGAUACCAGCUGGCUGCAACUGUUUAUUAAAAACACAGCACUGUGCAAACACGAAAGUGGACGUAUACGGUGUGACGCCUGCCCGGUGCCGGAAGGUUAAUUGAUGGGGUUAGCGGUAACGCGAAGCUCUUGAUCGAAGCCCCGGUAAACGGCGGCCGUAACUAUAACGGUCCUAAGGUAGCGAAAUUCCUUGUCGGGUAAGUUCCGACCUGCACGAAUGGCGUAAUGAUGGCCAGGCUGUCUCCACCCGAGACUCAGUGAAAUUGAACUCGCUGUGAAGAUGCAGUGUACCCGCGGCAAGACGGAAAGACCCCGUGAACCUUUACUAUAGCUUGACACUGAACAUUGAGCCUUGAUGUGUAGGAUAGGUGGGAGGCUUUGAAGUGUGGACGCCAGUCUGCAUGGAGCCGACCUUGAAAUACCACCCUUUAAUGUUUGAUGUUCUAACGUUGGCCCGUAAUCCGGGUUGCGGACAGUGUCUGGUGGGUAGUUUGACUGGGGCGGUCUCCUCCUAAAGAGUAACGGAGGAGCACGAAGGUUGGCUAAUCCUGGUCGGACAUCAGGAGGUUAGUGCAAUGGCAUAAGCCAGCUUGACUGCGAGCGUGACGGCGCGAGCAGGUGCGAAAGCAGGUCAUAGUGAUCCGGUGGUUCUGAAUGGAAGGGCCAUCGCUCAACGGAUAAAAGGUACUCCGGGGAUAACAGGCUGAUACCGCCCAAGAGUUCAUAUCGACGGCGGUGUUUGGCACCUCGAUGUCGGCUCAUCACAUCCUGGGGCUGAAGUAGGUCCCAAGGGUAUGGCUGUUCGCCAUUUAAAGUGGUACGCGAGCUGGGUUUAGAACGUCGUGAGACAGUUCGGUCCCUAUCUGCCGUGGGCGCUGGAGAACUGAGGGGGGCUGCUCCUAGUACGAGAGGACCGGAGUGGACGCAUCACUGGUGUUCGGGUUGUCAUGCCAAUGGCACUGCCCGGUAGCUAAAUGCGGAAGAGAUAAGUGCUGAAAGCAUCUAAGCACGAAACUUGCCCCGAGAUGAGUUCUCCCUGACUCCUUGAGAGUCCUGAAGGAACGUUGAAGACGACGACGUUGAUAGGCCGGGUGUGUAAGCGCAGCGAUGCGUUGAGCUAACCGGUACUAAUGAACCGUGAGGCUUAACCUU